UGUUGCAACCUCAGCUUUUGUGCAAGUCAAUAAAAUACUUUUUCCUUUUGUGUUGUUUGUAGGUUCAUGGCAGUUUUCAUCCCCUCCAUCUAAGAACUGUUUACAAACAUUUGUUAUUAAACUUCGCAGCACCAGAGAAGGGCUGCAUUCAGUACCUGUCUGUCUGCCUGUGACACCGAGAUCUGCUGCUGUUUGCCUGGGGAUGCCCCGUGCUUUGUAUCUGCCAGGCUCAGCGGGGCCGUGACAUCAGACGUUUUCAAAACAAAGAAUUCAAGCCGCUUAGCAAAUUGAACCAACUCAGCGAGGAAUCUGACAAAC
Molecule: long non-coding RNA, 318 nt
Filed under: Manacus vitellinus (golden-collared manakin)
Lineage: Eukaryota; Metazoa; Chordata; Aves; Passeriformes; Pipridae
Description: lncRNA (ENSMVIG00005006371.1)
Source: RNAcentral